Klebsormidium nitens is the source of this 73-nucleotide transfer RNA. It matches the Rfam family "tRNA". From Rfam's summary of the family: Transfer RNA (tRNA) molecules are approximately 80 nucleotides in length. Their secondary structure includes four short double-helical elements and three loops (D, anti-codon, and T loops). NCBI's taxonomy places the organism in Eukaryota, Viridiplantae, Streptophyta, Klebsormidiophyceae, Klebsormidiales, Klebsormidiaceae. The record is from Rfam.
GCGGAUGUAGCCAAAUGGUGAAGGCAGUGGAUUGUGGUUCCAUCAUGUGCGGGUUCGAGCCCCGUCAUUCGCC